Molecule: non-coding RNA, 325 nt
Organism: Prunus avium (sweet cherry)
Lineage: Eukaryota; Viridiplantae; Streptophyta; Magnoliopsida; Rosales; Rosaceae
Source: RefSeq, a predicted model, not a curated record
UUAUUCAUUGGUUAGCUUUUUCAGCAAGUAUACGGUCUUUCAUGUAUGUAUAGGUUGCUGAUCUUUCUAAGAAAGAAGCUGAAUGGCUAAAGCGAGAGGGUGAACUGCAGCAAAAAGUUCAACAGUGUACAGAGCCAUCGAUGGACUCUGCUAAGAUUAUGCAGUCAAUCACAGCUCAGUGCAAUGACAUACUGAAGUGUUUGGAUGAGCAUUUUACUGGAUUAGCGCACCGAAUUGAUGGAAUGGGAGCGAAUUUGGAGCACAGAAUUGAUGGUAUUGAAGCAACUUUGGAGCGAUUGGAGCACCAAAGUCCAGAGGAUGAUGA